UUGAGAAAAGGGUGGACGUUUUACAUUAGGACCGUUGGUGAAGAAAAUUAUAAAUGAAGACGGCAAAACUAGAACAAAACCUAUACCUACUAAGACAUGAAGGGAAAUACCGAUUUUAUUUUAUAAGAGAGUUGUUAUAAUUUUGUUAAGACUUAGUAAGGACUGAAGCUACCGUGUCAUCGUGGAAGUAUUUGACAGCCUUGAGGUUAGCCUAGCAUCGUGUACCACCGAGAGAUAAUUGCUUGUGAAAGCUGAACGAGUUCAUGUUCCCAUGGGAUAUCGGUUACGGCUAAGGAGUACUGUCUGCAUUGAUAGCGGCGCUUGCUGUGGAUUUUGUGAGGAAACCUGCAAGGAACUGCCAUACUUCGCUGAAGGAAUAUCUACAAGUAUAGCCUAUCAAGCGCCUUUGGAGGGAAGGCGGUAUCACAUCCACAAGGAGCAGCUUGAGUUCCUCAUAGAUUGUCAUAUGACCAUCAGACAAAUGGCGGAUGUUCUCAAAGUGUCGCACUCUGUGGUCAAGCGGCGCAUGAGUCAUUUUCAGCUUUUCAGGUCCUACCCACUGUUGUCAGUUGUUCAGCUGGAUGAGAGGAUCAAAGAGCUGAUAGGGCAGAAUGAAGAACUUGGUGCAGUCUGUGACGGCACACUUAAGAGAAGGUGUUCGAGUCCAGCGUGUGAGGGACAAGAGAGAGUCUGAUCCAUGUCAACCUCCAGAGAGCUGCGAGGAGAGCCAUGCAGCAUCGGCUACACCGGAGGCAGUACAGAGUUGCAGGCCCAAAUUCUUUGUGGAACAUUGAUGGCAACCAUAAGCUGAUCCGUACAACACGACCCAGGAGAGGCCUACUGCAAGCACUGGAUUGGAGCCUUCAGAGCGUGCCUGCUGUGGGAGGACAACAGUACAUAAUUAAAACAGAACUUACAUUUUUGUAAUUCCCAAUCGGAACUUUUGUAAAUCGUUCAAAUAAAUAA
Salvelinus sp. IW2-2015 is the source of this 966-nucleotide long non-coding RNA. RefSeq lists it as uncharacterized. Lineage: Eukaryota; Metazoa; Chordata; Actinopteri; Salmoniformes; Salmonidae. The record is from RefSeq and is a predicted model, not a curated record. The transcript has 4 exons.